Molecule: RNase P RNA, 396 nt
Filed under: Bacteroidota bacterium
Lineage: Bacteria; Pseudomonadati; Bacteroidota
Description: Bacteroidetes bacterium RNase P RNA component class A
Rfam family: Bacterial RNase P class A
About the family: Ribonuclease P (RNase P) is a ubiquitous endoribonuclease, found in archaea, bacteria and eukarya as well as chloroplasts and mitochondria. Its best characterised activity is the generation of mature 5'-ends of tRNAs by cleaving the 5'-leader elements of precursor-tRNAs. Cellular RNase Ps are ribonucleoproteins.
Source: RNAcentral
GCAGCAGGCCGUUCUGCCGCUUCGGCAUGGCUAUGGUUAUGCCGGGGAGGAAAGUCCGGACAACAAAGGGCACCAUACUCUUGAAAAAGAGGUGUUCGUGAGGGUACAGAAGCGGAGAAGAAAAUAACUGCCGGCUAUAUUUUUACGGGAUCGCGAGCCGAUACCUGCAAAAAGGCCGGUGAGGGUGAGAAGGUGGGGUAAGAGCCCACCAGUUGUGGUGGCAACACUGCAAGCUGUCCGCCUUAUGGGUUGCAAGAUCAUGUAUAUCCCGGUUUCAGGUUUCCUGAACCAUUGCGGCCCGCGAUGGAUUCUCCGGGAGGGGUAGAUCGCGCAGAUAAAUGGCAGAAAUCCCGAUUUAUCGGGAUACAGAAUCCGGCUUACAGGCCCGCUGUUUUU